This 194-nucleotide unclassified non-coding RNA is filed under the name uncultured fungus. Its description in RNAcentral is "sequence contains ITS1". Lineage: Eukaryota; Fungi. The record is from RNAcentral.
UUAACUAUUAUAUAGUACUCAGACAAUAUUAACAAACAGAGUUUUAGGUCCUCUGGCAGACACUGACCAGCCGGAGCCGGUGGGCCGAAGCCGGGUCUGCCAAAGCAACAAAGGUAUAAUAAACAAUGGGUGGGAGGUAUACCCCGAAGGGCAACGUCUCUUUAAUGAUCCUUCCGCAGGUUCACCUACGGAAA